AAAAUUUUAAUACAAAAUGAAUUGGAGGGGGAUAUGGACCAAGAGAGACUAUAGACUCUAGGAAACAAACUGAGGGUUUUAGAAGGGAGGGUGGUAGAGGG
Long non-coding RNA from Mustela erminea (ermine), 101 nucleotides. RefSeq lists it as uncharacterized. The transcript has 3 exons. NCBI's taxonomy places the organism in Eukaryota, Metazoa, Chordata, Mammalia, Carnivora, Mustelidae. The record is from RefSeq and is a predicted model, not a curated record.